Vombatus ursinus (common wombat) is the source of this 477-nucleotide long non-coding RNA. RefSeq lists it as uncharacterized. The record is from RefSeq and is a predicted model, not a curated record. The transcript has 2 exons. NCBI's taxonomy places the organism in Eukaryota, Metazoa, Chordata, Mammalia, Diprotodontia, Vombatidae.
CACGGAAGGAGUCGGCGGCCGAAACGGGGACCACCCAAGGGACAGGGAAACUGAGUCCUCCUAGGAAGCGGCAUUUGUAUAAAAAAAGCCUCUUCCACCGCUUUCCCUUCCGGGUUAGCGAGUGCUCACUUCCUCCCGAAGGUGAAGCUCUUGGCGCCAUCUUGGAAGAAGGCAAGAGGGGAGGGAGGGCGGUUGGCAGGGCGAGCUGAGUUUGGAGCGCGGCGAAAGUGAUGGAAGAAAAGCCGGCUUCUGGAUGCCAAGUCUUGCCUCUCGUGUGACCCUGGACGAGUCUCCUAGGAGAGCAGCUGGUGCGAGAAUCAGCCAGACAUGAAUUCGAUUCUGUGUGUGAGACCUUGGGCAAAUCACUUUAACUUCUCUGAGCCUCAGUUUUUCCCCUCUCUGAAAUGGAGAUAAUAAUAGCACCUAUCACACAAGGUUAUGGUGAAGGGAAAUAAAGCUUUUCCUGUGUUAAAAUGC